This 253-nucleotide ribosomal RNA is filed under the name uncultured bacterium. RNAcentral's name for it is "partial 16S ribosomal RNA". It matches the Rfam family "Bacterial small subunit ribosomal RNA", at positions 524 to 776 of the family's 1533-position model. The record is from RNAcentral.
UACGUAGGGGGCAAGCGUUGUCCGGAAUCAUUGGGCGUAAAGCGCGUGUAGGCGGUUCAGUAAGUCUGCUGUGAAAGUCCAGGGCUCAACCCUGGGAUGCCGGUGGAUACUGCUGGGCUAGAGUACGGAAGAGGCGAGUGGAAUUCCCGGUGUAGCGGUGAAAUGCGCAGAUAUCAGGAGGAACACCGGUGGCGAAGGCGGGUCUCUGGGCCGUAACUGACGCUGAGGAGCGAAAGCGUGGGGAGCGAACAGG